This is a long non-coding RNA of Mus musculus (house mouse), 3040 nucleotides long. RefSeq annotates it as predicted gene, 33867. NCBI's taxonomy places the organism in Eukaryota, Metazoa, Chordata, Mammalia, Rodentia, Muridae. The transcript has 4 exons. The record is from RefSeq and is a predicted model, not a curated record.
CGAGUCCCAUCUACAUGCUUGUUUUUAUCCCCUGCCCCCCGCAAAAAAAAAAAAAAAAAUUGCUUCCACAGCGAAGCUGAGCCACCCUGCUCGGCUUCAUUCCUUAAACUAAGUUAUUACAGCUAAUACUGUGGUUAAUGGUUUCUGGAAAGAUGCCGUCUAUCAGCACUGGAGUGUACACAUUUUGGCCCAAACGUUGAGAAAUCGCAGGCUAUGCAAUGUAAAAAGGAGAGAGAUACAGUUUGUUUCUAGUUCUGGUGGCUAUAAAGUCCAUAUACCGUGGCACCAGUAUCUCCUGGGAGAACUCUCUGGAUUCAUCAUUACAUGGAGCUGAAGAAAGGGAAGUUGGAGGUCACAUGGCAAGAAAGGAAGCAAGAGAGUAGGGCUGGAUGAGGCUCACUCUUUUAUAACAAGCUGCUCUUACAAAAUCUAAUCUACAUUCUUAUGAGACAGAACCUAUGGACAAAGGAAAGACCUUCAUGGAAGAAGUAAAAGAUGUGUGGUUUUCCCCUAUCCUCCUAACCUGAGUCCCCUUCACAGCUACCUACUGCAAAUGGAGAAUUUUACCUGGAAUUGGAAUAUUUUGUUCAAAAAUUGACUUCUCAAGUGAGGCCCCACAUACAAGUCCUUUCCUCACAUCUGAGAGAAGUCGAGCUUCUGAAGACCCAUGUUCUGCUGGAAAUGACACUCAGCAUCUGUGUGGCACAGGACAAACAUUUCAAGGUACACUCACUGUGGCGCCAGCAUAAUGACCCAAUUUAGCAAAACUGCACAUUGCCAGACAGCUUUCCAGGUGAAGACACUGCCUCACAGGGACUUAGUGGACAAAGGACAGAGCUGGAGCCAGGCUAUGUGUCUUAAAAACAGCAAUCCUAUCCAUUCACCCCAUGAGUCUGGGUUCUACCAGAGGAAUGAGCUUAUGACCAUGUGACUCUCAAAAGCCCACAUGCUCUAGGAAAAGUGGUUUUUAAAAUCAAGUUAAUUUGACUGGUCUAUGUUUCUCUGACUGUCUUACCAGUUUAUAAGGUUGAUAAGAAACUCAACCUUAAAACUUAAUUUUCUGUGAUUUGCUUUUUAAUGUAUUUGCAUUAUAAAAAAAGAAAUAAUAAUAACCCUGAAGUUUAUGCAAUCUAAGAAACUAAGCCACUGUGGGAAGGCCUUUUUUUCUUCUCGCUUUUGAUCUAUCAUGGUCACUGGCGAGACACAAGGGACCCAUGUCUUUCCAAAGCUUCUGGAGCCUUUGUUCGGGUCAUCAAACCCUGGAGAUUCCACCCUGGGUGUUGUGUCUGCUCUCAGUGUUCCUGUGUUUCGGUCUCAGGGUACCCAUACCCACAGAAAUCUCACCUGCUCCUUACACCCUGAGGGUAAAACCAUCUUUAUGGGCAGGCAGUCUGUGCACAGCCUCUUCCUUCUCUUAAGUUCUAUUAAUCAAAGCCAUCCUUACAAUCCUCUGAAGGAAUGGAUGCUCUGAACACCCAAACAAAAUGUUCAGAUGGCCUCUUCCACAGCAGGCUGGAGUGCAGCUUCCCAAGAUGUCAUGGCAAUACCACAGCACACAACUCAUUUGGAAUGUGCUUGCUCGGUCACAUAGAAAUUGUCAGUAAAUCACUCUGCUACAGGUUGUCAUAUUAGAGAGCAAGCUCAGAAGGAGCCAGUGUUUCGCUACCUUGGAUUCUUCGCAUACAGAACAAUGGCAUUGCUAAAGGACAUGUGUCUGAAGACCCCACUAGUCCCUGGAGCUACUAAUGUUCACUGUAGCUGCCUUGAUAUUUAAAUUUUUUUUCUCCUUAAUUUCCCAUUUUCCUUUAUUCUAUGUGUAUUUCUUUGUUCUCCCUCCCCCAAGUAUAUUUAGCUAUGCAAUUUCAAAAUGGUAAAGUAGAUACCAAUGUUGCUAAUAUAGAAGUAUAAGGGUAGGAGACAACCAGAAGAAUGAUGAUAGAAAUGAGAACUACUGUUGCCAGUCUUGCCUUCACAUGCUCUCUUUAUGAGCUCUCUGCAGAUUUGUUAGCAUUUCCAGGGAAAGAAUGCAAGGACCAGUGGCUAGUGUAUACAUCUGAAAGUGUGCACCUUGUCUGAGGGUUCGAAGGGGGUGAGAAGGGCGCAUGUCCAGAGGAGGGAAUGCAAAGCUUUCUGCCAAACCCUAGAACCCUUUCUGGAGAUUGUUUCUUCUGAUCCCAUCACCUGUGCAGCUCUGCAAAUUGAAUAUGGUAUUGGUCCAACUCCGAGAGUAGUCAGCUCAGCCUGGCUUUUGUCUCUAAUGGGUCUCUUUAUCAGAAAGAGUUCUAAAAUGGCUGUUUUAGAAGUGUUUUAGAACAGAGGGAGCCAAACAGGUGAUAUCUUUCUCCAAAAGGUUAUCUUCCCGCAGCACGGAGAAGUUGGUUAACAUUGGAGGAGGCACAUUUAACAGAUUGGCUUAGUCCCCAGUAAAGGUCAGGAGUCUGUCUCCCCUCCAUCCUUCAUGCUCCUCUUUCCUCCCUGUUGCCUCUUCUGCUUCAAUACUCUGUCUUAUCUUGAACUAUUCUAACUUCCACAUGACACAGAGAAGAAUACUGGGAAUGUGUGGAGAGCAUUAUAAAACUAACAGUUUAUUACUAACUUGUCAUGUGCUUAAAACUUGUUAAGUAAGUUUCUCUGUCUCUCCUCUGUCUCUCUAUCUCUCUCUAUCUCCCUGUUUCUCCUCUCUUUCUGUCUCUCUCAUUCUCCCCCCUCUCUCUCUUUACCACACCACAUUUAAAACAAUUACCCAAGAAACCCAACCACACAGCUCCUAUUUACUAGAAAAAUCAGAUUCUUUAUUUCACGUUUUGCAUUUCUGUAAUUUUCUUUCUAUGUUUACCAAGUGGUGUUUCCCCUCAAUCAAUAUAUUGUAUAGGAAUAGUACUAUAUCCUUCAGACCCCCAAAUCCAUUGUAUGUACUUUAUUAUUGUUGAUAUUCGUGGUAUAAUUAUUUGUCUUUUAGAAACAGGGUCUCGCUAUGCAGCUCUGGCUGGAACUCACUAUGUAGAAUAGGCUGCUCGUGAACUCAUAAAGAUCUACCUGC